Molecule: ribosomal RNA, 253 nt
Filed under: uncultured bacterium
Lineage: Bacteria
Description: partial 16S ribosomal RNA
Rfam family: Bacterial small subunit ribosomal RNA
Source: RNAcentral
GACAGAGGGGGCAAGCGUUGCUCGGAAUUACUGGGCGUAAAGGGCGCGUAGGCGGGAUGGCAAGUCGGUCGUGAAAUCCCUCGGCUCAACCGAGGAACGUCGAUCGAUACUGCUGUUCUUGAGGAUUGCAGAGGAGACUGGAAUUCCCGGUGUAGCGGUGAAAUGUGUAGAGAUCGGGAGGAACGCCGGUGGCGAAGGCGGGUCUCUGGGCAAUUCCUGACGCUGAGGCGCGAAAGCGUGGGGAGCAAACGGG